AUGUCGGACGCGCCGGCGAGCCCGCCGGGCGGCAGCUUCGGCGGUGUUAGGGAGCAGGACAGGUUCCUGCCCAUCGCCAACAUCAGCAGCAUCAUGAAGAAGGCCAUCCUGGCCAACGGCAAGAUCGCCAAGGACGCCAAGGAGACCCUGCGGGAGUGCAUCUCGGUGUUCAUUGCUUCAUCGCCAGCGAGUGAGGCGAGUGACAAGUGCCAGAGGGAGAAGUGCAAGACCAUCAACAUCGAUGACCUGCUCUGGGCGAUGGCCACGCUAGGCUUUCAGGAGUACAUUGAGACCCUCAAGGGCAUAACAGUCUUAUGUGCGGCUUGUUAUUUUGUUACUAGCCUACUUUCUUGUGCUCCUGGUCGAGUCUUGUGGAGAAGCAGGGCGAAUCGGGCAUCAUCUUACUUGUGCCUAUGUGGUAACGCUGAUGGUUUCGGAGAUACUCGUAAAGAAGAGUUGUACAAUGCAAGUGCUACUCUUAAGGUACCAGAGGCGAUCGGCAUCCUCCUGGUGGCGCUGCUCCUCACAAAGUGUUGA
This 537-nucleotide ribosomal RNA is filed under the name Triticum aestivum (bread wheat). Its description in RNAcentral is "partial small subunit ribosomal RNA". Lineage: Eukaryota; Viridiplantae; Streptophyta; Magnoliopsida; Poales; Poaceae. The record is from RNAcentral.